GACGUAGGGCGCGAGCGUUGUCCGGAAUUAUUGGGCGUAAAGAGCUCGUAGGCGGUUUGUUGCGUCGGCUGUGAAAUCCCGAGGCUCAACCUCGGGUCUUCAGUCGAUACGAGCAAACUAGAGUGUUGCAGGGGAGACUGGAAUUCCUGGUGUAGCGGUGAAAUGCGCAGAUAUCAGGAGGAACACCGGUGGCGAAGGCGGGUCUCUGGGCAACAACUGACGCUGAGGAGCGAAAGCGUGGGGAGCGAACAGG
This 253-nucleotide ribosomal RNA is filed under the name uncultured bacterium. Its description in RNAcentral is "partial 16S ribosomal RNA". It matches the Rfam family "Bacterial small subunit ribosomal RNA", at positions 524 to 776 of the family's 1533-position model. The record is from RNAcentral.